CCCUUAGAUGUUCUGGGCUGCACGCGCGCUACACUGAAGCUAUCAACACGUUUUCCCUCCCUGAGAAGGGCGGGUAACCUUUUGAAUCAGCUUCGUGGUAGGGAUCGGGGCUUGCAAUUGUUCCCCGUGAACCAGGAAUUCCUAGUAGACGCGAGUCAUAAGCUCGCAUCGAUUAAGUCCCUGCCCUUUGUACACACUGCCCGUCGCUACUACCGAUUGAACGUUUUAGUGAGGCAUUUGGACCGACGCAUCUCAGUUUAACCGCUGGUUUGUGUUGGAAAGACUUCCAAACUUGAGCGUUUAGAGGAAGUAAAAGUCGUAACA
RNAcentral lists this ribosomal RNA (324 nucleotides) under uncultured eukaryote. RNAcentral's name for it is "partial 18S ribosomal RNA". It matches the Rfam family "Eukaryotic small subunit ribosomal RNA", at positions 1470 to 1796 of the family's 1831-position model. The record is from RNAcentral.